AUGGCGUCCUCCGAGACGCCACCUCCGUCGAUCCGGCAGGGAGCGAGGAUCGUCCCGCCGGACAGUGACAGCACCGUGGAGGAAGUCCUCCUGGCGGUCGGACAGCAGGUCGGACACGACCAGCUGCUCUUCGCGUCUCGGAUGAACAGGGCCGUGGUGGUGUUCCUCAGGGACGAGCCGCAUGUCCAUCAGCUGGUCGAGAGCGGAGUGUUCAUCCGGGACAUCUUCGUGCAGGUGUCCCCGCUGUCAGCUCCCUCCACGCGGAUCACCGUGUCCGGGGUUCCUCCGUUCAUCCCCAACGAGCUGCUGGAGAACGAGCUGCGGAGGUUCGGCAAGUUGGCCAGCGGCUUCAGGACGCUGAGCCUGGGAUGCAAGGAUCCCAAACUGAGGCACGUCCAGUCCCUGAGGCGACAGGCCUUCAUGUUCCUGGACUCGCCCACGCAAACUCUGGAGGUGUCGUUUAGAGUCAAGCACGGUGACGGGCACUACGUGGUGUAUGCAAGCUCGGGAAGUGUGAAAUGCUUCGAGUGUGGAGACGUGGGACACAAACGCUAUGCGUGCCCUCACAGACAGGCGGCGUCCGGCUCCGCGUCCGCGUCCGGCUCCGCGUCUGGUUCCGCGUCCGGCUCCGCGUCCGGUUCCGCGUCUGGUUCCGCCGAUGCGGCGCGUGGCGCCGCUCACGCCGGGGCAGCGGCGGGUGAUGCGGCGCCAGCGGCCGGUGACGCGGCCGGUGACGCGGCCGGUUCCGAGUCUGCGUCUGGUUCCGCGUCCGCGUCUGGUUCCGCGUCCGCGUCUGGUUCCGCCGAUGCGGCGCGCAGCGCCGCUCACGCCGGGGCAGCGGUGGGUGAUGCGGCGCCGGCGGCCGGUGACGCGGCCGGUGAUGCGGCCGGUCCCGAGUCCGCCUCGCCCAGUGGGCCUGGUGGGCUCGAGGUGGUGGAGGUGGAACAGACUCUGGCCGAGAGGCAGCAGGCGUCUGCGGCUGCAGGAAACCUGAGCAUCUCUCAGUGUGCAGGACCAUCACAAGCACAGGCAGCAGUCAGGACUGAAGCAGACAGAGAGCACGGUGUGACCCCCAGUGAAGAACAGGGGGGACCCACUAGCCAGGCACCAGCUCAGGGAGAUGACAUGGAGUAUGACUCGGGGUCAGACACAACAUCCGUUGGUGAAACUCCCGUCAAGAGUACUGAUCUCUACUCACUAGAGGAAAUUAACAACUUUCUAGAUGAGACUUUCAAGAAAUCAGUGAAAGUGAGCGAUCACUUCAGUGACAUUGAUAAAUUCAUCAGAUCUGUUAGUAUACUAAAAAGGGUGGUCGGGUUUGAUCUGUUGGAUGAAAAGAAACGCUUCCGACUUAAAAAGCACAUCACAGCUUUGAGGAAAGUGUCAAUAGUUCGACCUGUAAGAAAGACCAGGAAAUAG
This 1419-nucleotide long non-coding RNA is filed under the name Scophthalmus maximus (turbot). RNAcentral describes it as "lncRNA (ENSSMAG00000037732.1)". Lineage: Eukaryota; Metazoa; Chordata; Actinopteri; Pleuronectiformes; Scophthalmidae. The record is from RNAcentral.